This 353-nucleotide long non-coding RNA is filed under the name Anser brachyrhynchus (Pink-footed goose). RNAcentral describes it as "lncRNA (ENSABRG00000017503.1)". Lineage: Eukaryota; Metazoa; Chordata; Aves; Anseriformes; Anatidae. The record is from RNAcentral.
GAGUUUUGUAGAUAGCUUGAACAUCUCUUCACAACAGACUAAAAAACAACUUAUUUUUCUAUUACAGUUGAAAUAUUGGGUGAAUAAAUGAGCUGUGUUGCUGUAUGAGAUACGUUUGAUGGAAAGAAAGAGUGUUUAAAAACACAGUGCAGCCUGAAAGGAGAGACAAAAUCAGAAUCACGGUAUGGAUCCUGAGGACAGAAGUUACAGUGACAAGUCCUGAAAUAAGCCUUCUAUUUUUUCACGUAUUUCUCAGGUACUCAGCAUUUCACAACAUGACAAACAGCAAUGAUGGAAGGCUAAUUUGUUCUUCAUGUGUCCAACCUCCUGUGCAGCUAGUUAUACCCUGGGAG